This 462-nucleotide ribosomal RNA is filed under the name uncultured bacterium. RNAcentral describes it as "partial 16S ribosomal RNA". It matches the Rfam family "Bacterial small subunit ribosomal RNA", at positions 29 to 507 of the family's 1533-position model. The record is from RNAcentral.
AGUGAACGCUGGCGGCGUGCCUAAUACAUGCAAGUCGAACGAACGAAUAAGAGCUUGCUCUUAUAAGUUAGUGGCGCACGGGUGAGUAAUAUAUAGCUAAUCUGCCUCUUAGUAGAGGAUAACAGUCGGAAACGAUUGCUAAUACUCUAUACUUCUGCUUUACAUAAGUAAAGUAGAGAAAGUUUUUCGCUAAGAGAUGAGGCUAUACUGUAUCAGCUAGUUGGUAAGGUAACGGCUUACCAAGGCUAUGACGCAUAACUGGUCUGAGAGGAUGAUCAGUCACAUUGGAACUGAGACACGGUCCAAACUCCUACGGGAGACAGCAGUAGGGAAUAUUGCGCAAUGGGGGAAACCCUGACGCAGCAACGCCGCGUGGAGGAUGACACUUUUCGGAGCGUAAACUCCUUUUAUCGGGAAAGAAUAAUGACGGUACCCGAUGAAUAAGCACCGGCUAACUCCGUG